ACGAACGCUGGCGGCGUGCUUAACACAUGCAAGUCGAACGGAAAGGCCCUGCUUGUGUGGGGUGCUCGAGUGGCGAACGGGUGAGUAACACGUGAGUAACCUGCCCUUGACUUUGGGAUAACUUCAGGAAACUGGGGCUAAUACCGGAUAGGAGCUCCUGCUGCAUGGUGGGGGUCGGAAAGUUUCGGCGGUUGGGGAUGGACUCGCGGCUUAUCAGCUUGUUGGUGGGGUAGUGGCUUACCAAGGCUUUGACGGGUAGCCGGCCUGAGAGGGUGACCGGCCACAUUGGGACUGAGAUACGGCCCAGACUCCUACGGGAGGCAGCAGUGGGGAAUAUUGCACAAUGGGCGGAAGCCUGAUGCAGCAACGCCGCGUGCGGGAUGACGGCCUUCGGGUUGUAAACCGCUUUCGCCUGUGACGAAGCGUGAGUGACGGUAAUGGGUAAAGAAGCACCGGCUAACUACGUG
This 467-nucleotide ribosomal RNA is filed under the name uncultured bacterium. Its description in RNAcentral is "partial 16S ribosomal RNA". It matches the Rfam family "Bacterial small subunit ribosomal RNA", at positions 29 to 507 of the family's 1533-position model. The record is from RNAcentral.